CAGCAGCCGCGGUAAUACGUAGGUGGCAAGCGUUGUCCGGAAUUAUUUGGCGUAAAGGGCUCGCAGGCGGUUUCUUAAGUCUGAUGUGAAAGCCCCCGGCUCAACCGGGGAGGGUCAUUGGAAACUGGGAAACUUGAGUGCAGAAGAGGAGAGUGGAAUUCCACGUGUAGCGGUGAAAUGCGUAGAGAUGUGGAGGAACACCAGUGGCGAAGGCGACUCUCUGGUCUGUAACUGACGCUGAGGAGCGAAAGCGUGGGGAGCGAACAGGAUUAGAUACCCCAGUAGUCCCUGUCUCUUAUAC
Molecule: ribosomal RNA, 301 nt
Filed under: uncultured bacterium
Lineage: Bacteria
Description: partial 16S ribosomal RNA
Rfam family: Bacterial small subunit ribosomal RNA
Source: RNAcentral